This 252-nucleotide ribosomal RNA is filed under the name uncultured bacterium. Its description in RNAcentral is "partial 16S ribosomal RNA". It matches the Rfam family "Bacterial small subunit ribosomal RNA", at positions 524 to 776 of the family's 1533-position model. The record is from RNAcentral.
UACGUAGGGUGCAAGCGUUGUCCGGAAUUAUUGGGCGUAAAGAGCUCGUAGGCGGUUUGUCGCGUCUGCUGUGAAAACGCGAAGCUCAACCUCGCGCCUGCAGUGGGUACGGGCAGACUAGAGUGCGGUAGGGAGAUUGGAAUUCCUGGUGUAGCGGUGGAAUGCGCAGAUAUCAGGAGGAACACCGAUGGCGAAGGCAGAUCUCUGGGCCGUAACUGACGCUGAGGAGCGAAAGCGUGGGGAGCGAACAGG